This 28-nucleotide non-coding RNA is filed under the name Mus musculus (house mouse). The record is from RNAcentral. Lineage: Eukaryota; Metazoa; Chordata; Mammalia; Rodentia; Muridae.
UCCUAGAGACAUUUUUCCCCUUGGUGGA